UGAUUCGAUGGCUGGUAAAGUGUAUUCAAAGUUUAAUCUUUUGCCGGGUAGGAUUGCCAAGAUGAUCUGUCCAAAUUUGAUUAUCUCCUCACUUCAAGUUUUUUCUUUUCCUCCAACGUAAGUUAGAAAUAAUAGUAAAUUGUGAUGUUAUGGUUUUAUGAAGUACGGUCGAAAAUUUAAAUAACAUAUAGAAUGUCGAUCAAAAUUUUUAUUGAUAUUAUGCCUACAUAUGUGUUCACAAUUUCAUGUCAAGUUGUAUGAACCAAAUUAAGAGGGGUUUUGAUUACAAAUCCAACAUGCAAUGAUUCUGUGGUAAAUCUUGCGAGCACUAAAGAUAUUUUUUUGCGGGCACUAAAGAUAUUGUUUGCGGGCUCUAUAGAUAUUUUUUUACCCACAAAUAGAUGUAAUUGUGUUCGUUGGUUGAAUAUUAAAAUUUUAUUUUGAGAUUUGUUUUAAUACAAGGAUAAAGAUUAUAUGAUUUGGAUGAUUUUAAAUUUUAAUGUAUUUUUGUUAUGUUUUUAGUUACAAUGGAAAUUGAUGUGGUAUUUUAUAUUUGAAGUCAUUUUUCAAAUGUACUUCCUAAAUAUAAUAUUUAGGACAAACCCGUCACAUGUUUUCACCCGCCUUCCAUAUUAACAAAUUUGAAUACAUUAUAUGGGAAUUAUAGAGAAUGACGUUGACAGUUCUGAUAAGCGUUUAUGCAUCUAUAUAAAUAUUUAAUUAUAAAUUCGGAUUAAAAAUUAAACAUGUCCUUAGUAAACACAACAAAUAUGUAUUGAAAUAAAGUUAUAUAUUUUGCAAAAAAAAUAUUUGGAUUGGAUAAAGGGUAUGGUAAGUACGUUGCUAUUUGUUAUUCUUUUUUAAAGCUUUAAAAUCGUUUAGUCUUUGGAAUGAAGAAGACUAAAUAUAGAGAAGAGAGUACUCAUCAGAAGUAAUUAAAGAGUAAAUAAUAGAGGUUAAAAAUUGAAAUCUUCAUUGUUAAGAGAGUAGAGUGGAAAUAUAAAUCGAGUAAAAGACAGAAGAGAGAUCCAAGUUCAUGGAAUGCGUAGUUAGGGUUUGAAUCUAUUGAGUGGGGGUUUGACCUAAUGAGGGGAGUAUUCUAUCCAGGAUUGAAUUUGUUUCAGUUUAAUAUACCUUCUCUAGGUUUCACUUUCAAAUCAUAACUAACUCCAUUUUUUUUGCUUUCUAUUUUUUUUUUUUUGCAUUUUAUUUUAUUUGGCUUUACACAUAUUAAUUCAUGGUGUUUAUGUAUGGUUAUAGGUUACGGAUGCAACGUCGUUAAACAAUUACAGGACAAUUAAAUUGCUGAUUCAAUCGAACAUAUGGUAUGAACAUGGUUCGUUUCACGGGGUGUUUCGGUGUCUUGCCUUGAAUCAAGGCGUGUAAAAACGUUAUGUGUGAUCCUUAUACACCAGCUGGUGUUCCAAUUCCAACCAAUAAGAGGCACAACGCUGCUAAAAUUUUCAGACACCCAUCGUUGCCUCCGAGGGGCCUUGGUAUGCUCAUCUUCUUCUUUUUUAGCUAUACAUAUUAUUUUCGUUACUAUAAAUUCUAAUAGUGUUAUUUUUUUUAAACGAUUGUAUGUUUUGGAUGAAUGAAAGCAACCACGAUGCAUGAAGAAGAUUUAGGUGAUGUUUCAAUUAAUCUUUUAUCUUUAAUUUAUCGAUUUUCUAAUUUUACAAAAAUGUUCUCACCGAGUAGAAUAUACUUUUGAGUUUUGAGUUAAAUCUUUCACAGUCUGUUGUGGAUUAGCAACGUUUCAAGCCAUAUUAACUAUUGUGUUGUGGCAGUUCGAAAGAUUCAUAUAAAUUGGACUAUUGCUACAAA
Molecule: long non-coding RNA, 1827 nt
Organism: Arabidopsis lyrata subsp. lyrata
Lineage: Eukaryota; Viridiplantae; Streptophyta; Magnoliopsida; Brassicales; Brassicaceae
Exons: 3
Source: RefSeq, a predicted model, not a curated record